Molecule: small RNA, 133 nt
Filed under: Yersinia nurmii
Lineage: Bacteria; Pseudomonadati; Pseudomonadota; Gammaproteobacteria; Enterobacterales; Yersiniaceae
Description: RtT sRNA
Rfam family: RtT RNA
About the family: This family represents a bacterial cis-regulatory element known as RtT RNA. The exact function of RtT is unknown although it is thought that it may be involved in changing the cellular response in relation to amino acid starvation.
Source: RNAcentral
UCUGUUUUUAAGUCUCGGAGAACGCGGUAGAACCGAGCGGUCGGAAGUUCGAGCCGAGCGUAGCGAGACAACGUUGCUUCAGCAACGGCCCGAAGGGCUAGGCGUUAGCCGAGUCAUCUUCCUGGGUGCACCA